This 841-nucleotide ribosomal RNA is filed under the name uncultured planctomycete clone22. RNAcentral's name for it is "bacterial SSU rRNA". It matches the Rfam family "Bacterial small subunit ribosomal RNA", at positions 46 to 894 of the family's 1533-position model. Lineage: Bacteria; Pseudomonadati; Planctomycetota; Planctomycetia; Planctomycetales. The record is from RNAcentral.
GGAUUAGGCAUGCAAGUCGAACGAAUCCCGGGGGGCAACUCCCGGGGGAAGUGGCGAAAGGGGCAGUAAGGCGUGGGCAACCUACCUCGGGGACGGGCAUAGCCCUCCUAACGGAGGGGUAAUUCCCGGCGAGGUGGCCUGGGGGCAUCUUCGGGCCAUGAAAGGAAUUUCGCCUCGAGAGGGGCUCACGUGAUAUCAGCUUGUUGGUGGGGUCACGGCCCACCAAGGCUACGACGUCUAGCCGGUGUGAGAGCACGACCGGCGCCACUGGCACUGAGACACUGGCCAGACUCCUACGGGAGGCUGCAGUCGAGGAUCUUCGGCAAUGGGCGCAAGCCUGACCGAGCGACGCCGCGUGUGCGAUGAAGGCCUUCGGGUUGUAAAGCACUGUCGAGGGGGAGGAAAGCCCGCAAGGGCCUGACCUAUCCCUGGAGGAAGCACGGGCUAAGUUCGUGCCAGCAGCCGCGGUAAGACGAACCGUGCGAACGUUGUUCGGAUUCAUUGGGCUUAAAGGGCGCGUAGGCGGCCGCUCAAGUCGGGGGUGAAAUCUUUCAGCUUAACUGGAAAAUAGCCUCCGAUACUGGGUGGCUGGAGGGAGAUAGGGGUGCGCGGAACUUCCGGUGGAGCGGUGAAAUGCGUAGAUAUCGGAAGGAACGCCGGUGGCGAAAGCGGCGCACUGGAUCUCCACUGACGCUGAGGCGCGAAAGCCAGGGGAGCAAACGGGAUUAGAUACCCCGGUAGUCCUGGCCCUAAACGAUGGGUACUAGGUAGUGGGCUUGCAUGGGCUCACUGCCGAAGCAAAAGUGUUAAGUACCCCGCCUGGGGAGUAUGGUCGCAAGGC